RNAcentral lists this ribosomal RNA (406 nucleotides) under uncultured bacterium. RNAcentral describes it as "partial 16S ribosomal RNA". It matches the Rfam family "Bacterial small subunit ribosomal RNA", at positions 360 to 773 of the family's 1533-position model. The record is from RNAcentral.
AAUAUUGGGCAAUGGACGGAAGUCUGACGCAGCGACGCCGCGUGAGCGAAGAAGGCCUUCGGGUCGUAAAGCUCUGUCCUUGGGGAAGAAGGUCUUCGGACUUGACGGUACACAAGAAGAUAGCCCCGGCCAACCACGCGGCAGCAGCCGCGGCAAUACGUAGGGGGCGAGCGUUGUCUGGAGUUACUGGGCGUAAAGGGGGUGUAGGCGGCCCGUUAAGACAGAUGUGAAAGGACACGGCUUAACCGUGGGAUUACAUUUGAAACUGGAGGGCUUGCGUGUCGGAGAGGGUAGUGGAAUUCCCAGUGUAGCGGUGAAAUGCGUAGAUAUUGGGAGGAACACCAGUGGCGAAGGAGACUACCUGGACGAUAACUGACGCUGAGGCACGAAAGCUAGGGGAGCAAAC